This 180-nucleotide ribosomal RNA is filed under the name uncultured Glomeromycotina. Its description in RNAcentral is "partial small subunit ribosomal RNA". Lineage: Eukaryota; Fungi; Glomeromycota. The record is from RNAcentral.
GGGUCAGCAGGUUGGUCGUGCCAAUGGUAUGCACUGGCCUUGCUGAUUCCUCCCUCUUGAUGAGCCGUAAUGCCAUUAAUUUGGUGUUGCGGGGAAUCAGGACUGUUACUUUGAAAAAAUUAGAGUGUUUAAAGCAGGCUCACGCUUGAAUACAUUAGCAUGGAAUAACGGAAUAGGACG